Molecule: ribosomal RNA, 504 nt
Filed under: uncultured Fusarium
Lineage: Eukaryota; Fungi; Ascomycota; Sordariomycetes; Hypocreales; Nectriaceae
Description: SSU rRNA
Rfam family: Eukaryotic small subunit ribosomal RNA
Source: RNAcentral
AUUGGAGGGCAAGUCUGGUGCCAGCAGCCGCGGUAAUUCCAGCUCCAAUAGCGUAUAUUAAAGUUGUUGUGGUUAAAAAGCUCGUAGUUGAACCUUGGGCCUGGCUGGCCGGUCCGCCUCACCGCGUGUACUGGUCCGGCCGGGCCUUUCCCUCUGUGGAACCCCAUGCCCUUCACUGGGUGUGGCGGGGAAACAGGACUUUUACUGUGAAAAAAUUAGAGUGCUCCAGGCAGGCCUAUGCUCGAAUACAUUAGCAUGGAAUAAUAGAAUAGGACGUGUGGUUCUAUUUUGUUGGUUUCUAGGACCGCCGUAAUGAUUAAUAGGGACAGUCGGGGGCAUCAGUAUUCAAUUGUCAGAGGUGAAAUUCUUGGAUUUAUUAAAGACUAACUACUGCGAAAGCAUUUGCCAAGGAUGUUUUCAUUAAUCAGGAACGAAAGUUAGGGGAUCGAAGACGAUCAGAUACCGUCGUAGUCUUAACCAUAAACUAUGCCGACUAGGGAUCGG